Molecule: ribosomal RNA, 314 nt
Filed under: uncultured bacterium
Lineage: Bacteria
Description: partial 16S ribosomal RNA
Rfam family: Bacterial small subunit ribosomal RNA
Source: RNAcentral
UAGGGAAUCUUCCACAAUGGACGCAAGUCUGAUGGAGCAACGCCGCGUGAGUGAAGAAGGUUUUCGGACCGUAAAGCUCUGUUGUUGGUGAAGAAGGAUAGAGGUAGUAACUGGCCUUUAUUUGACGGUAAUCAACCAGAAAGUCACGGCUAACUACGUGCCAGCAGCCGCGGUAAUACGUAGGUGGCAAGCGUUGUCCGGAUUUAUUGGGCGUAAAGCGAGCGCAGGCGGAAGAAUAAGUCUGAUGUGAAAGCCCUCGGCUUAACCGAGGAAUUGCAUCGGAAACUGUUUUUCUUGAGUGCAGAAAGAGGAGA